This 456-nucleotide long non-coding RNA is filed under the name Sus scrofa (pig). RNAcentral describes it as "lncRNA (ENSSSCG00025015786.1)". Lineage: Eukaryota; Metazoa; Chordata; Mammalia; Artiodactyla; Suidae. The record is from RNAcentral.
AUGGUGGUUAUUGAUGGGAAGGCCAUUUCCUUUGGGUUUAUGGCUUCGAAUUUAGGUCCCUUGUUGAUUUCCCUCCCUAUUUUCACACUCACAGGACAGUUCUACGCAUUUACUUGGCAAACAAAGAAGCAGGAGGCACUGUGUGGGGCUGAUUCCUCAAGAGGAAGCAAGCAAGAGGCCACAGGUGACAGAGAGUGCAUAUGUGCCCUCACAUUCCUUCAACAUGCGCUGAAUGUGUGUCCCUGCCCUGUGCAAGGUAAUGGAUUUACAGCUGUGAGCAUGGCAACAUCAUUGCACUGGAUAAUGAUGGCUCUGACCCUCCGAAUCUUUCACAAUCUGGUAAGUGAAAUGAAUGAGGGAACCAAUUUCUGUGUGUUCAGGCCAGUAUCUCAGACUAUUAGAUCCAGCCUGGGAAUAAAACCCAUUUUUAAUGCACCAUUUGAUAAGAACACUUAA